AGUUAGGGUUCCAUCCCAGCAUUUGACUGCGGGAGCGAUGUUUGAUAGAUUUAGGGUUAAUUCAUCGUCUUUUUCCCCGGUCUCUUGAUCGUAGAGAUUGUGAAUUUCAUGGGACUGAAGUUUGGCUCUUUGGUCAAUUUCGUAUGCCAUAGAGAUGAAUGCAGUUCCCUAAAUCAUCUCUUCAACCUCUUCACCCAUUUUCGCUAAGUAAUUCAGGCAGCCUCUCUGCAAUUUCCAUGGCAAAGGAGGCGUUAAACUGCUCGUAAAUCGAAUCGCUUAUGCUCUUCAGACUUGCUGAGGUUUCCUUUGAAGCUCGUCUAGUAAGUUUAAGUACAUUUGUUUUCUGGACAUACGUUUUACGGAUUUCGAGUCGCUGUUCUUGCUUGAUUUCACAUUAUGCUUUUUCUUCAUAACCUAUGAUCAUUUAGCUGAGUAGUGGUUGGUAAAUUAGAUUAUAUCUACUAGACAGCAGAUUAUUCAAUGACUUUUUAGAGUUUCCGCAACUCAGUUGGUGGAUUAAUCCGGAAUUUUGUUGGAGGAAAUAGAGAGUUAGUCGAUUUACAUUUAAAAACACUUAUUCAUAGGUGGAUUACUCUUGAUUGUAGGACUUUCUAGACCUAGACUGGCUUGGAUUUUGAUUCUCAAAUUAUUCUUAAGCUUCUUCAGAUUAUAGACCAAUAACUUAGGUUGAAUUCAAAAUGAUCCAUAGCGGUACAUGUAAUUCAUGCGCAUAUUGCCACAAUUCAUUCAUGUAUUUCAAACAAUAGAUGCAUACUUUGUAAAGUUAUAUCAGGUAAUCAAAUUGUUGAAUUGGAUUGUUUUGAACAAGAACUGAAUUGUGGAAUGUGAGCCAAAUUUGUGUGAAUCAUAUUUUUUUGUUGAUGCAAGCACACAUAUACUGAUGAUGCCAGCAUGGAAAAUAACUUGAAGCUGAAGAUGAAGAACGACCAUAUCUCAGCCUAUGUGGUGAUUUUUGAUGGAGGAGUUGAGUCGCUUGAUUUGUAUGAUUGUAACAACUUUCAAAAGAAUUGAAGGUUUUGGUUUAUUUGAUUAUGCUCUUUGGAUUCUAGACCUCGUUAAUGAUGAUUCUGUAUAAAAGGAGGUUAUCUAGAACUUGAAAUCUUAAUUUAUGUGUCUUGAUGAAAA
Long non-coding RNA from Cucurbita pepo subsp. pepo (vegetable marrow), 1146 nucleotides. RefSeq lists it as uncharacterized. NCBI's taxonomy places the organism in Eukaryota, Viridiplantae, Streptophyta, Magnoliopsida, Cucurbitales, Cucurbitaceae. The record is from RefSeq and is a predicted model, not a curated record.